Molecule: ribosomal RNA, 385 nt
Filed under: uncultured bacterium
Lineage: Bacteria
Description: bacterial SSU rRNA
Rfam family: Bacterial small subunit ribosomal RNA
Source: RNAcentral
AAUGAACGCUGGCGGCAUGCUUUACACAUGCAAGUCGAACGGCAGCGCGGGGGCAACCCUGGCGGCGAGUGGCGAACGGGUGAGUAAUACAUCGGAACGUACCCAGAAGUGGGGGAUAACGUAGCGAAAGUUACGCUAAUACCGCAUACGUUCUACGGAAGAAAGUGGGGGAUCGCAAGACCUCAUGCUUUUUGGAGCGGCCGAUGUCUGAUUAGCUAGUUGGUGAGGUAAAGGCUCACCAAGGCGACGAUCAGUAGCUGGUCUGAGAGGACGACCAGCCACACUGGAACUGAGACACGGUCCAGACUCCUACGGGAGGCAGCAGUGGGGAAUUUUGGACAAUGGGGGCAACCCUGAUCCAGCAAUGCCGCGUGAGUGAAGAAGG